RNAcentral lists this ribosomal RNA (240 nucleotides) under uncultured Eubacteriales bacterium. RNAcentral describes it as "uncultured Clostridiales bacterium partial 16S ribosomal RNA". It matches the Rfam family "Bacterial small subunit ribosomal RNA", at positions 1157 to 1397 of the family's 1533-position model. Lineage: Bacteria; Bacillati; Bacillota; Clostridia; Eubacteriales. The record is from RNAcentral.
GAUAAUACGGAGGAAGGUGGGCAUGACNUCAAAUCAUCAUGCCCUUUAUGUCCUGGGCUACACACGUACUACAAUGGAUGUUACAGAGGGAAGCUAAAUAGUGAUAUGGAGCGAAACCCAAAAAGCAUCCCCAGUUCGGAUUGUAGGCUGAAAUUCGCCUACAUGAAGCCGGAAUUGCUAGUAAUGGCAGGUCAGCAUACUGCCGUGAAUACGUUCCCGGGCCUUGUACACACCGCCCGU